UCUUGGUGCCUCGCAUUGAUAACUUAUUCACCUGGUCAGGGCCGGAAGGAAGCAGCCAGAGUAAGCCAAUCAAGUGCCGAGGGUUCGCUGGGAAGU
Molecule: non-coding RNA, 96 nt
Organism: Psychromonas sp. CNPT3
Lineage: Bacteria; Pseudomonadati; Pseudomonadota; Gammaproteobacteria; Alteromonadales; Psychromonadaceae
Rfam family: Bacterial small signal recognition particle RNA
About the family: The signal recognition particle (SRP) is a universally conserved ribonucleoprotein involved in the co-translational targeting of proteins to membranes. Archaeal SRP consists of a 7S RNA and homologues of the eukaryotic SRP19 and SRP54 proteins. In most bacteria, the SRP consists of a 4.5S RNA and the Ffh protein (a homologue of the eukaryotic SRP54 protein).
Source: Rfam